This 16840-nucleotide long non-coding RNA is filed under the name Solanum tuberosum (potato). RNAcentral describes it as "long non-coding RNA (STUB_LNC002316)". Lineage: Eukaryota; Viridiplantae; Streptophyta; Magnoliopsida; Solanales; Solanaceae. The record is from RNAcentral.
AAUUUUUAGCAGAUACCAAGAUGCAAAGGGAAAAUUUAACGAACCCCUUAGCAACGACAUCAAAGGUCUAUUGAACUUAUAUGAAGCUUCACAUGUAAGGACUCAUGGAGAAGACAUCUUAGAAGAGGCACUUGCUUUCUCCACUGCUCAUCUUGAAUCUGCAGCUCCACAUUUGAAGUCACCUCUGAGUAAGCAAGUCACACAUGCCCUUGAGCAAUCUCUCCAUAAGAGCAUUCCAAGAGUUGAGACACGAUACUUCAUCUCUAUCUACGAAGAGGAGGAACAUAAGAAUGAUGUGUUGCUUCGAUUUGCAAAACUGGACUUCAACUUACUUCAGAUGUUGCACAAACAAGAACUCAGUGAAGUAUCAAGGUAUGCUAGCUAGUAAUUUACAUGAAAAAUAUAAAUUAAUUGUUACUCGAUAGUAAUUUCUCAAAUCAAUUCUAAAUUUUUAAGAUUGAUUCUUAUUUUAUAGGUGGUGGAAAGAUUUGGAUUUUGUGACAACACUUCCAUAUGCUAGGGAUAGAGCAGUUGAGUGCUACUUUUGGACGAUGGGAGUGUAUGCUGAACCUCAGUAUUCUCAUGCUCGUGUCAUGCUUGCUAAGACUAUAGCAAUGAUUUCUAUAGUAGAUGACACAUUCGAUGCUUAUGGAAUCGUAAAAGAACUCGAGGUUUACACCGAUGCCAUACAGAGGUAUGAACAAUUGCCUCUCCAACAGCAAAUGGUUAAUUUCUUAGAAGGGAAACUUACUUAAUCUUUAUCUUUUAUUAGGUGGGAUAUCAGCCAAAUUGAUCGGCUCCCAGAUUACAUGAAAAUCAGUUAUAAAGCACUUCUAGAUCUCUACAACGAUUAUGAAACAGAGUUGUCAAUGGAUGGUAGAUCCGAUGUUGUUCACUACGCCAAAGAAAGAGUAUGAAUCAUGACUUAUACUAGUUAUCUCAAUAUUAAUCAGUUUGUUAACGAAUAUCUGUAGCUUUUUCUCCUCAUCUUUGCGUAUAAGGAAAUUCAUUUUUUGAAUAAAUACUGAUGUUUGAGUGUCUUUGCUUGUUGUUGACAGAUGAAAGAAAUCGUGAGAAACUAUUUUGUGGAAGCAAAAUGGUUCAUUGAAGGAUACAUGCCACCUGUUUCUGAGUAUCUUAGCAAUGCAUUAGCUACUAGCACUUAUUACUUGCUUACGACAACAUCCUACUUGGGCGUGAAAUCUGCUAACAAGGAAGAUUUUGAAUGGUUGGCUAAGAACCCUAAAAUCCUUGAAGCCAAUGUGACUUUAUGUCGAGUCAUUGAUGAUAUAGCAACCUAUGAAGUUGAGAAGGGUAGAGGUCAGAUUGCAACUGGAAUUGAGUGUUAUAUGAGGGAUUAUGGCGUAUCAACAGAAGUAGCAAUGGAAAAAUUCCAAGAGAUGGCUGAGAUAGCAUGGAAGGAUGUAAAUGAAGGAAUUCUUCGACCAACACCUAUCUCUACAGAAAUCCUUACUCGUAUUCUCAAUCUGGCUCGUAUUAUAGAUGUCACUUACAAGCACAAUCAAGAUGGAUACACUCAUCCAGAGAAGGUUCUAAAACCUCACAUUAUCGCUUUGUUGGUAGAUUCUAUUGAAAUUUAAAUUAUCAAUUCACCAAGGAAUACUUGGUACUUCUCAGUCCCUUAAAUAAGUAAUUGGUGAUAUCGUGCAAUGAAGUUACUUUCUUAACUUUCUUCUUUGUAUUAUCAUUGAUAAUAUUUAAAUUUAAUUACUUCAGUUUCUACCUAGCUGCUUUAGCUUAAUUUGUUUAAGUUAUGUAAAACAAUUCUGAAAGUCAUGACGUGAAAGAAUAUGCUUCAACAGUUUCUGAUUAGCCACAAGAAAAUAAAUAAAAAAUUGAAUAUUCCGUACCUGUCAAAAACGUAUUGACCUCCAUUGCAAGGGCAACUGCGAAUUUUUGGACAUUAUAGUCAACAGGAGCCAUUUGUUUAUUUCUUUUUUAAUUAUUAAAAUUUGGUAAGAUUUGAAAGUAUAUAUAUAAAAAAAGAAAUUAUCAUGUAUUAGCUAGGGAUAAUUUUUCUCACAUGAAAAUAUUUCAAUGGAACGGUUUAUUCAUAACCUUAAAAAGAUUGAAUCAUUUGAAUUUAUAUUUAGCGUGUCAAGAAAAGUACCGCAGAACUAACAUUAAAAUCAAGAAUCAGAAAAAAUCAUAUAUAUUCUUUUAUAUAUAAUUUUAAAAAUGAAAAUUCCUAAGGAUGAGUAUGUCUGUAUUACAACUCGAGGUCAUUCAACUUUAAAUUUAUUAUUCUAAUCUUUUUAUUUGGUAAAAGUCAUCCAAUUUUAAAGUUUAGCACACAAUUUUUUAUGUGAUAAAUUUUAUCAUUUUAUGUAACAAGUAACAAAAAAUAAAAAAAUAAAAAUGUAGGGCUAAUUUCUUGCUAGAUUAAUGAGAACUCCUGCAAGUGUCUACAACUUCCAUGUUUUUUUCUCACAUUUGUCUCUACACUCCCCUCCUCAUUUCGUUUUUCAGUUGUUUACAAUACUAUGAAUCCUAAAGGGACUACUUUUGUUAGACAAAUUAAAUCCCUAGUAGUAUGUAAUAUUAUUUGUGGUAAUAGUUAUAUAUAUAUAUACAUAUAAACCUCACGAAGGAAAAAGAAAAAGAAAAAAGAGAGACGAGAUUAAGAACUUGUUUGGAUGAGCGAGCUUAUAAAAAUAAAUUAUAAGUCAAAAUUAAAAAUCAUAAGUAGAUGAUACUCUAUUUUUGACUUUUGACCUAAAAAUGAGUACUUAAAAACACUUUUUAAUCUUUCCAAAUGAGCACUAAGCUAUGAACAAACUUAAAAGAAAAAAAAUACUUUUAUGUAGAAAUUGACAAGUGAAAAUGAAUUUAGGUUACCUCAGAAAGUAAAAACACUUUGAGGCAAUUUUGAAUUCAAAGUUGCUACAUUCUGCAGCCAAAGAAAUAAAAAAUUCUUAAAGUGCCAUCAAAGUAGACCCUGAAUCAACAAGCACAUAUGAAUAUGCAAUAAUGACAAGAAAAACUAACAUAAACAAUCACUACAUUAUUAAAAAUGAUCUUUAACAGCAAUUAAUUAACAAUUGUCGCUAAAUAUUUAUUUUUAGCGACAAUUAGCAUUCUUUGUAUAUGUCCAUAAAGGUUUUAGCGACAUUGAAUUUAAUGGCACUUAACUAAUGCCAAUAAAGACUUUCAGGGGCGUAUACAAGAGGGGGUCACCGGGUUCACGUGAACCCAUGGUCCCCUCCCGAAAUCAUAUAUAGUAGUGUUAUAUUUUUUUAAAAUAUUUAAAUAUAGAUGUAUGAACCCAGACUCGAAGUAUCAUAUAAUGUAGUACGAUGAUGAUUGGGUGCACCUCUCUAGGUGAGGUUAGAAAUUUGAAUCUUUUAUCUAUCUUGUUUUAGUUUUCUUUCUAAGAUUUUGUAACUGGUUUGAAUAAAUAAAAGAUAAUUUUGGACCUAUGAUUUUAAAAUUUUAAUGAUUUUCAGUAAAAAGAAUCUAACCGAUCAAAUUUAUGUCUUAGAUCCACCUUUUUGUAAUAGUGCACCCAUUAUCUAUAAAUCCUGAAUAUGCCUCUGAAGACUUUAAUACUCUUUAUUAAUUAUCUAUUUAUUACCGCUAAAAAUUAUUUUUGUUAUAGUGAAUAACGAACACAUACAACGUCACUAUAUUUUUUUAUGUAUAAUAUAUAGUCUUUUUCUUGAGUUGAAAUUAGAAACUCUAGUGAAGCAUCGGGCCAACAAAAUCUCCAGUCGCCAAACAAGGAAAAAGAAUAUGAUAAGGCACAAGGAAUUAAAAAAGAAUUGAUUUAAUUUCUACACAGUUAUCAUAUAAUAUUUUUUUUUGUAUAUAUUAGGUCUCUAGAAGAUAAGUAUGGGCAACAUGCUACAACUGGUUAAAAAAAUUUAAACAUGGUCAGAUGGUCACUUAAUUAUGAGCUGUUUUUACAUAAAGUUAAUUAUGAACUGUUUUUACAUAAAGUCAUUCAGUUUUGAUUUUUAACUCACAAGUCACUUAACUAUGAAUUUUUUCAUAGAAAGUUAUUCAACAACUUUGAUUUUUAAAUCAAAAGUCACUCUAUUAUGGAUUCUUUUCACAAAAAAUAACUAAACUGUGUGUUUUACUUGCAAAAUCAGUCAACUUAUUUAAUUAAUUUUUUCAAUAAAAUUUAUUAACUUGAAAUUUUUAUUGAAAACUAAAAUUUUUAAAAAUCUAGAUAUUAUCUCAUAUAAACAGUUAAAAAUAGUAUAUAAAAUUAAAAUUCAAAAAGGAAAAAAAACAUGCUGAGUGUGUGUAUAUAUAGGCUGCGUAUUAUUGCUCAGUUCGGUUCGAUUUUGAAAUUUAUCGGUUUGACUUAUUGGUUAUCGGUUUGACUUAUUGGUUAUCGAUUUGUAGAGAUGCUAAACCGCUAUAGAACCAUUAACAUAUUGACUUAUCGGUUAUUGGUUUAUCAGUCAAACCAAAUGAACGUAACCAUGCACAUGAAUUCACAAAUUGCAUCUUGCUCAAUAACAAACACUUUUAUAUUGUAGAAUAACCAAGAGUUCGAGAUAGCCAAAAAUAAAAGUAGGAAACUAAACUCUAAGUCAAGGACUUAAAUUUAUAUACAAUGGUAUAAAUAAAUUAUUUAAUUUAUUAUUGAAUUAUCGGUUAACCCGUUAAAAAAAAGUUUCAAACUAUUAAGAACUGAUAACUGGAUAACAAAAAAAAUUCAAAACCACUAUCAUAAAAAUAGCUAAAUUAUUAACUCAUUACUGAUAAAUGAAAAAAAAAAAUUAAUACGAAUUAUCGAUUUUGAUUAGAUUUUCCUAAUGUAUAGUCAACAAAGUGCGGCAGUUGGAUGACUAGCAACAGUAACAAGGUAUUUUUUAAACGUGAAAGAUGGCUGAGACAGGGGUUCUCACCAUACAUUAUAAAUACUCUGAUUUUCCACAAGCAAAGUGUAUAUACUAGAAAUGGCCUCAGCUGCAGUAAUGAGUAACUAUCAAGAGGAGGAAAUUAUUCGCCCCGUUGCUGACUUCUCUCCAAGUCUUUGGGGUGAUCGGUUCCAUUCAUUCUCCCUUAGCUUGACAAUCAGGUAUUUAAGGAACUUCCUUUGUAAUGCUGUUAUAUAUAUAAUCAGUUGUUGGAACAGACUUGUUUUAAAAAUGAUUUUUUUUUUGUUUUUAUAUAUAUGUACAGGUUGCGGAGAAGUACGCUCAAGAGAUUGAAACUUUGAAGGAACAAACAAGGAGUUUGUUGUCUGCUUCUUGUGGAAUAACAUUGACUGAGAAAUUGAAUCUGAUAGACAUUGUUGAGCGUCUUGGCAUAGCUUAUCAUUUUGAGAAACAAAUAGACGAUAUGUUGGACCAUAUUUUUAACAUUGAUCCUAACUUUGAGGCUCAUGAAUACAAUGAUUUAUGCACUCUAUCCCUUCGAUUUCGAAUCCUAAGACAACAUGGUUACAACAUCUCUCCAAGUACGUAAUUAAUGUAUAUCAACCAACCACUACGUACAUACAUUCUUCUUUGUUUUUGGAGUAAUUGAAAUUCUAGCUACCUAAUUCUUUGUUUUCAACUGUUCAAUUCAUGAACCAGAAAUUUUUAGCAGAUUCCAAGAUGCAAAGGGAAAAUUCAAGGAAUCUCUUAGCAACGACAUCAGGGGUCUAUUGAACUUAUACGAAGCUUCACAUGUAAGGACUCAUGGAGAAGAUAUUUUGGAAGAGGCACUUGCUUUCUCCACUUCUUAUCUAGAGUGUGCUGCUCCACAUUUGAAGUCACCACUGAGUAAACAAGUGACUCAUGCCAUUGAGCAAUCUCUUCAUAAGAGCAUUCCAAGAGUUGAAACACGCUACUUCAUCUCCAUCUACGAAGAGGAGGAAUGUAAGAAUGAUGUGUUGCUUCGAUUUGCAAAACUGGAUUUCAACUUACUUCAGAUGUUGCACAAACAAGAACUAAGCCAAGUAUCAAGGUACGCUAGUAAUUUAAAUGAAAAAAAGUACUAUUAUUUGUUGAUAGUGACUCUCAGAAACUGAUAUACUUUAUAGGUGGUGGAAAGAUUUGGAUUUUGUGACAACACUUCCCUAUGCUAGGGAUAGAGCAGUUGAGUGCUACUUUUGGACUAUGGGAGUGUAUGCUGAACCUCAAUACUCUCAGGCUCGUGUCAUGCUUGCUAAGACUAUAGCAAUGAUCUCAAUCGUAGAUGACACAUUCGAUGCCUAUGGCAUUGUUAAAGAACUUGAGGUCUACACUGAUGCAAUACAGAGGUACGAAUUACUUCUUGAACAUUUAUGAUUUAAUUAGAUGAUACUAUAAAUUAAAGGGAAAAAAGCAAACUAUAUCGAACAACACAUCUUUGUUCAAUUUUGAAUUUUUGCCUACAAACACUAGAUCACAUUUCUAUAUGUUCUGAUGAACUUAUCAAAUUCAUUUCUUUUUCAUUUAUUAGGUGGGAUAUUAACCAAAUUGAUCGGCUCCCUGAUUACAUGAAAAUCAGUUACAAAGCACUUCUAGAUCUCUACAACGAUUAUGAAACAGAGUUGUCAAAUGAUGGUAGAUCAGAUGUUGUUCACUAUGCAAAAGAAAGAGUAUGAAUCAUGACUUAUUCCAGUUAACCAGUUUAUCAACCAAUUGUGAAGCUUUUUCUCCCAAUUUUUGUUUGUAAUGAAAUUUAUUCUUUGAAGAAGUACGGACGUUUGAAUAUAUAUCUUUUGGUUGUUAUUGAUAGAUGAAAGAAAUUGUGAGAAACUAUUUUGUGGAAGCAAAAUGGUUCAUUGAAGGAUAUAUGCCGCCAGUCUCUGAGUAUCUUAGCAAUGCAUUAGCUACUAGCACUUAUUACUUGCUUACGACAACAUCCUACUUGGGCAUGAAGUCUGCUAACAAGCAAGAUUUUGAAUGGUUGGCCAAGAACCCUAAAAUUCUUGAAGCCAAUGUGACCUUAUGCCGAGUCAUAGAUGACAUAGCCACCUAUGAAGUUGAGAAGGGUAGAGGUCAGAUUGCAACUGGAAUUGAAUGUUAUAUGAGGGAUUAUGGGGUAUCAACAGAAGUAGCAAUGGAAAAAUUUCAAGAAAUGGCUGAGACAGCAUGGAAGGAUGUAAAUGAAGGAAUCCUUCGACCAACUCCCGUGUCUACAAAGAUUCUCACACGCAUUCUCAAUCUUGCUCGCAUUAUUGAUGUCACUUAUAAGCAUAAUCAAGAUGGAUACACUCAUCCCGAAAAAGUAUUAAAACCUCAUAUUAUAGCCUUGUUGGUGGACUCCAUUGAAAUUUAAAUCAUCAAUUAUUGUGUACAUCUGGGAGCACUUGGUUCCCAACCCCUCAAAUUUGUAUUUGAUUGAUGUUUGAUGCCUUGUUGGUAACUCUUUACUAGGGUAAGAACUGCUGGCGAUAGAUGUUGUUAUCGUGCAGUGAAGUUACCUCUCUAAAUUUUUUUAUAUCAGUAUUGACAUAUGAAAUAUAUUACUUCUUUUUAUAUAUGCCUACUUGUUUUAUGAGGUUUGAGAUAAAAUCUAAAGCAUUUCUGAAAAUGGUUUGGUAGACUACACCUCAGCCGUAGCAACAGAUCCUGAUAUAAUAAGCCCAUGAUAAGAAAUCAAAACAUAAAAGAAAACUUCCCAAAUAUAAUAAACCACUUAAAAUUAAUACUACGUAAGAAUCAACCAAGUAAGACGGCAAAAAUUAAUAUAGCCACAGUACAAGUAUUAGUACCACUAAUUGAGGUGUACUAGGAGGGGUAAUUUGAGCCAUAUUAGUGAGUCUAUUUUAUUUAUAUUUAAUUAAAUGGAUCACUCAUUGUUAGCAACAAAUUUUUGUAAGCGCUGAAAAUUAACUGCAAGCAAAAUAAAUAAAAGAAAAUGUGAUUUUUAUUGAUGAAUCGUUGUGAGUACAAUUCUGUUGUUCUCUUGAUUCUCUCUCCUAAGCUUCUCCAAGAUUCGAGGGUCUUCAGUAGCGUACUUUUCGAAUUGUUGGAUGAUGUAAACCUCCUUGAGAUGUUGUCGAUCUCCGGGAACGUCGAAAAGCGCUUCGCCGUUUCAAGUCGAUCUCCGGGAAGAACUCCGUUGAUCACUCCUUUGAAGAGCUAUGUAGUUGAUGUUGCAGCUUUCUCCAAUUGCAGAAUGCUUGUUGAAAGGUGUUCUUAAUGCCUUUAGAAUGUCAUGUCUAUUCCCCUAUUUAUAGUUGUAGGGAGUGGACAAGGUUGCUUGUGAUUGGCCAAAGGCUGUCAUUUUGACACUUGGCGGAUUGUAAUUGGUUCUUGCAUUUGACUGGGAUUACCACCUCAUUUGGACACAUGGCGUCACCUUGUUGGUCUUGGAUGCCUAGUCACUGUGACACGUGGCGUGGGUUUGAGCUUCAAGGUGAAAUGGACCUUGGACUUGAAUUUAAUAAAAAUGGACUUAUUUAUUUGUAAAGCCCAAAUUAAUCAUUCAACCUAAUAAACAUGGAUUUAAUCCAAAUUUUAUAUGAAUUAAAUCCAAUAAAAUUUGUGUGUCUAUACUCAUUUAUUUUUAAAUAGAUAAAUAUGGACUUCAACCUAUUUAAGCUCAUAUAAAUAUGAACAAAGUGGAUAAAAUUAAAUAUGAGAAUUCAUAUAGAUCCAUGGAUCACCCAAUUAAAAUAAAAAUUCCUAAUUGCAGUAAAAAGAAAAUGAAAAAAAAAAUGAGGGUGGGGCUAGGGUGGAGGUGGGGGUGCGAUUUUCUUUUAAUGAAAAAUUAUUAUUUAAAAAAAAAAAUAAUGUCAAAAAUAUCUUUAGCGACAAUUAAUUAACGGUAGUAACUUAAUUGCCACUAAUUAUGCAUUUUUAGAAGCAAUUAACACUCUUUGUAUAUGUCCAUAAAACCUUUAACGACAUCGGAUUUAAUGACAAUUAACUAAUGUCUGUAAAAACUUUAGCCUUCUUUAUUAAUGUGUAUAUUUAUCAUGCUAAAAAUUGUUUUUGUUAUAGUGGUGAGGUGGGGUGGUAGGGGUAUGAACAAAUUUGCUUUAAAGAUUUAAUAUUUUUUGUCUUUAGAAAAUUAAAAAAUCAUUUUAUCUAAAUCAUAUUUAAUCAAAUUCAUAUUUAUCCGUAUAUUAUAUGAUUGGAUGAUAGUUCAAUCCAUUUUGACUCAAUCUAUAUUCAAUUAAUCCAAUCCAAUCCACCCGUUUUUCACCCUAAGGUGUAAAGACAUAAUACUCUCUAUUUCUAACUUUUAAUUCAGCCCCAUUGUACUGCAGAUUCAGUUUGUAGUACAGAAAACAAGGUUUGCCCCAAAAUUUAAAGCUACUGCUUGAUAAAAGCUCAUUUAAAUUAGUACUGUUCUGUAACGAUUACAACUCGUAGCAUUAUGGGUAAAAAUUUAUCCGCACCAGAUGUUUAUAUCAGAUCAGAUUAUACUGCCUCUCCCAAAUGCAUAUCGCCACACUUAUGUAUGGGCACCAGACAGUCCACAACGACAAUGGAUAUGCUUUCUAGUUUCUAGUAUCCUCUCUCAAACAUGCAUGUAGCACUCCGAUCCAUAGGCGGAGAAAAAAGGGGCAAAAGAGUUCAUCUAAUAAAUCUUUUUCGCUCAAAAAAUUACAUUAUAUAUAUCAUGUUUAAAUUAUUUAUUAGGUAGAUGUUGAACUCAAUUCAACCUGAUUCUACUUAAAGAAAGGAGGGGCAUAAGUUCUUUUGUUUGUUGUAUUUAUUUCUUUAUAUUUUGAAUUUACUUAAUAAAAAAAUAUUACACUACUGCAUAGUACACUUGAGAACACCCAUAAAAUAUAGUUUUAUGAAGUUAAAAAGAUCCAGAGGAAGAUGUUGUGAGGUCCAGCCUUAUAUCCCAUCUUUUAAGGAAAAAAAUCUUUCUUUGAAAAUAUUUGCAGCAAAUUUGACAAACUUUUGUUGAAAUUGGCUAUCGGCCAAUUAAUAUAAGGUGAAAAAAUGGGCAAACUUCAUGCCUAUAGGCUAUAAAUAGACAUCUACAUCAGUUUAAACACGCGAGGGGAAAUCAAAAGAGGAUUUCUUUAUUUUGAAAAAUUUUAUAUCAUUUUUCUUUUAUUAUAUUUACGGUAAUUUUUUUUGUGUUAUUCCUCAUUUUCCCAGCAGAUGCCACGCACUGUAGGAUAAACAGAGGAACCAUGGAAUAUAAAAUUAGAAUUAAAAACAUACAAUACAAUAUAUUAGUAGGAGUAGAGGUGACAGAAUGAGUAAUUGAUAUGGGUAUUCAUUGAUAUGGGUUAAAAAUGUUUAUUCAUAAAAGAAAAAAUAAUAAUUUGGGUACCCAACUCAUUUAAAAAUAAGUAAAAAUGAAUAAUACUCAUAUUUAUCCAUUUAAAAGUGAUAGUUAAAUGGAUAAUACGGGUAAAAAAUGUUCAUUCAUAAAAGAAAGAAAAGUGAUUAGGGGUGGGUGGUAAAAAAUAUUUUUUUCUAUAAAAUUUUAACUUUUUAUAUAUUUUUUGGGAUAGAGGGGGGCUGGUAGGGAAUGGAGUGGUAAAAAAAAAAUUCAAAUGUUUCUUUUUAAAAAAAAUAAUUUUUUUUGGGAUGGGGGUAGGGGGUGUGGGGGGGANNNNNNNNNNNNNNNNNNNNNNNNNNNNNNNNNNNNNNNNNNNNNNNNNNNNNNNNNAGGGGGAUUGGGUGAAAAAAAGAACUUGUUAAAAAUUAUUUUUUUGUAAAAAAACAAACUAUUUUUUUUCCGAUUUUUUUACAUUUUUUUGGGAUAGGGGGUGGAGGAUGGUAGGGAGGGUGGAGUGAUAAAAUAAAAUUUAAAAAGAUUUUGUUUUUAAAGCUUUUAACAAGAUCUCUACUAUAAUAUGUAUAUCCUACCCAUAUUAUUCAUUGAAUAACUCGUUUUUACCCAUUUAAAAUAUAAAUAAAGUCAAUCCAAGUUAUUUUUAAUCGACUUAUAUUUGACUUGAUUCGUUCGUUUGUCACUUCUAAGUAAGAGUAAUAUAGUCAGGUAAGGAUGACGGAAAAAAAAAAAAUAAUCAAGGAUGACGGCAUGCAUUCAGUAACAGGAAUUUGGAAAACGUAGACGUCCCUCCAUCCAUCCAUCCAUCCCAUAUAAGUUAUUUAUCUUACUAAAUUAAGAAAAUAUUAAAAAAAUAAAUUCUAUAUUAUUCUUGCAAUUAAUUUUUUUUUAAAGUAUUCACAUUUAUUUGUAAAAUUUCCUAAAAAAUUAUUAAGGAGUGAAUUAAUAAAAUUAUCUUUUCAUCUAUAAUUUUUUAAUAUACUUGCAAAAAAAAAUCAACUUAAUAAAUUUAAUUUAAAGUAGAAGAAUAGGCAUGUUAUUUGUGGGCGGAGCCAUUUUUUAUAAAGAGUGGUUUGAUGCAUAUUUUUUAUGGAAAAUUCAUAUGGUAUACAUGAAGUUGAAAACUAGACAGUCUUCGCUAAAUAUGACUCAGAAGAAAUUACACAUUCUUUCCUAAAUUUUUAGCUCCGCCACAAAUGUUGUUCACAAGAAUUUAGAUACACGGUAAAUUAAAGUUUCAUGCUGCAAACAUAUAUAAAUAAAAUCCAAAAAGAAAAAAAAAUAUGUUGUCAUAUUAUAAAGGAGUAUUAGAAUAUAAUAGGCUCAGUGGCGUAGUUGAACACUUCUAUCGAAAAAUCAUACUUAUUUAUAGCAAAUUAUAUAAAAUAUAUAGUUUAAAAUUAUUUUUCACAUAUAUAUAAAAUUCUAAACAUUCUUAAAGAGAAAAAAAUUUCACCUCUGUAAAAAAUAGAACAACUAGUGAUUAGUUAUCAGUAUAUUAUGACCCGUUUGGCAAUAUAUUUUCAAGUAAAAUUUGGAAAAAAAUUUGACAAAUAGUGUGUCCAUAAAACUUGCCAUUAUUUUGGUAAUUCCAAAUACUAGUUUUUCUAGUAUUUGGACCAAAUCUCAUUAUUUGGGCCAAAUCUCAUAUUGGAGCUUUUAAAAAUUCAAAUUCUACACGAAACUUUUAUCUUUUACAUAAAUACCCUCUACUUAUUAACACUAAAACACUCACUCCGAACUAGCACAUUGCUCCAGUGUCAUGGGCACUACUUGUUAUUUGUUGCAACGUAGAUCCAACUAACUUGUUGCGGAAGUCAUGAAUCAUGUUACGUCGACAUUUCUAUAAUUCUAUCUUGCUAAGUAAUACAAUACAAACUUAUAGUUAGAUUUGAUAGUAUCUUAAACUUAUGGAUGUAAAUCAUAUUUCUUAAAAAGUGAAAUAUGUUUCUCCAAUACUGGCUAAACACAUGGUGAAAUUUCACCCAAAUCUUCACUCAAGUAAUAAUUGUCAUACUUGAAAUCUAUGAUCAAACACUAGCAUAGUUAAGUGUGGCAACCCCCAACAUGACUACUACAAUGUAUGAGAAAAUAAAUAAAUUCAACACAUAAUAUUUCAGAUAAUCAUUCAAUUAUUCAUUCUUCUCUUAAAAAGUUAUUCAGAUUUUAAUUCUUCACACAAAAGUCAUUUUGACUAUUAAUUUUUCUCUUAGAAAUUUAUUCAACUUUGAUUUUAACUCAGUAAUCACUCAAUUAAGAGUAUUUUUCUUACAAAGUCAGUCAAACUAUUUAAUUAAUUUUCUAUUAAAAUUUAUCGACAUAAAAAAAAUUAAAUGAAAAUUUUGAAUAAAAUAAACGAAUAUCUAUUUAAAUCAUACAUUUUAAUGACUUGGUUCGCUGAAAAUAUAAUAUUAAUCUUUUUAUUCUAAUAUUAUUCUCCUCUAAAUGUAAUAUUGAUCUUUUAGAGCCUUGCUGAAGUCUUCAUCACCUUAACUCCUUAAGCAACUGUGAAGCUACUUCCUGCGAUAAUUGUAGUAAAUUACUUGUGGGAGUAUUAAGAUAUUAUUUUUUAUCAAAAUAUUAAGUAUAAAAAAAAAUUUAUCUGUAAGUUGCCAAACAUUUUUAUAAAGUUUUAAGCCAUCACUAAUAAGUUGUGUCGUGACUAAGAGUCUAUUUGGCAUUACUGCUAAAAAUAACUAAAUUUUAGAAAUAUUUUUUUUAAAUGUCAUUUUAGAAAAAGUGCUUUUGAAAAAAAAAACAAUUUUUGUUUGGCUAAUUCAUUUGAAAAAUACUUUUCAUAAGCAAAUUGUGUUUUGGCUGAUUUUUAAAAAAAAGUGUUUUUGAGAGUUAAAUUACAAAAAGGACAACUAUUAAUGUACUUUUAAUAUUAAAAUUAUUUAUAGAGAGAAACUAUUUUAAAUAUCUAUUAUAAAAAAACUAAUCACUUUUUUAUUUUUAUUACAUUAAAAUGUACAUAUUUAAAUUUUCAGUCAAUAUUAUACAUUUGUUGGGAGGCUGAAAUCUUUAAUUGUUAUUUUUUUUUCUUUUUUCUAAUCUUCCAAAAAUAUGUUGUUACCUUUUUCUAAUUCUGCAAAAUAAUAUGUAAAAUAAUAUGUAAUAUAUAAAAUAAUAAUAUAUAAACUUAAAAUAAAUUACAAAAUUAAUUAUAUAAAAAUAAAAAUAAAAUUCUUAAAACUGCUUGUGCUUCCGUCUAAAACACUUUUACUAAUUUAUUAAGCACUUGAUUUUUCAACAAAUUUUUUUUUUCUCAAAAUAAGUGUUUCUGGCCUCUCAACAGAUAACAACAAUGUCAAACAAACUCUAAAUUAAUGAAUUUUGGAUUAAAAAUCAAAGAUGAGUGAGUUUAUGAGAGAAAAGUUCAUAAUUGAAUUACUAGGUAAGAUAUCAUCUCGAAUUUCAAUCAUGAAAAAUGGCUAUGACAAAUGCUCUCACCAUUCAUUUAAUAUUAUAAAUACUCGUUACCUUCUCUUAAAUUCUAUAGUACAAAGAAACCUAACAAAGAAAAAAGAAAUGAAAGGAAAGGAAAUUUUCUCUGUUCUACGUAAGCUAAGAGUAGUAGAAAAGUCUCCAGCUGCUGACUUCUCUCCUAGUCUUUGGGGUGAUCGUUUCCAUUUAUUUUCCCUUGACAAUAAGGUAUGUAUUUUGUACAUGUAUUUCUUAUCUUGUUAAAGGAGAUUCAUUUCUGACAUUUUCUUUUUAAAUAUAUUUGCAGGUUGCUGAAAAGUAUGUUGAAGAGAUUGAAACUUUGAAGGAACAAACAAGGAGUAUAUUAAUGUCAGGAAAAACAUUGGCUGAAAAGUUGAAUCUCUUUGAUAUUGUUGAACGCCUUGGAAUUGCUUGUCACUUUGAAAAACAAAUAGACGACAACAUUGAUCCUAACUUUGAGGCUCAUGAAUACAAUGAUUUAUGCAUUUCAUCCCUUCAAUUUCGACUCCUAAGACAACAUGGCUACAAUAUUUCUCCAAGUAAUAUAUCUAUCAAGUUCUACUUCAUUAAUUUCUUGUUAUAUCUUUAGUUUUGUUUUUCCCUAAUUAAAUGUACAAGGACUAACUUGAACCAGAAAUUUUUAACAGAUUCCAAGAUGCAAAGGGAAAUUUAAACAAAUCCAUUGGUAACAACAUCAGGGGUCUAUUGAACUUAUAUGAAGCUUCACAUGUAAGGACUCAUGGAGACAACAUCUUAGAAGAGGUGCUUUCAUUUUCCACUGCUUAUCUAGAAUCUGCAGCUCCACAUUUGAAGUCACCUCUGAGUAAACAAGUGACUCAUGCCCUUGAGCAAUCUCUCCAUAAGGGCAUUCCAAGAGUCGAGACACGCUACUUCAUCUCCAUCUAUGAAGAGGAGGAAUUUAAGAAUGAUGUGCUGCUUCGAUUUGCCAAACUGGACUUCAACUUACUUCAGAUGUUGCACAAACAAGAACUAAGCGAAGUAUCAAGGUACACUAAUAAUUUACAUAAAAAAUAUAAAUUAUUUGUUGAUAGUAAUUUCUAAGAUUGGUACUUAUUCUGUAGGUGGUGGAAAGAUUUAGAUUUUGUGACAACCCUUCCAUAUGCUAGGGACAGAGCAGUCGAGUGCUACUUCUGGACAGUGGGAGUGUAUGCUGAACCUCAAUACUCUCAGGCUCGUGUCAUGCUUGCUAAGACUAUAGCAAUUAUUUCAUUAUUAGAUGACACGUUCGAUGCUUAUGGCACUGUAAAAGAACUUGAGGUCUACACUGAUGCCAUACAGAGGUAUGGACUACUUCUCAAACAUUUUAUCAUUUAAUUAGAUGAUCCCAUAAAGGUGGGCGAACUGUCCAUUUUGGUGUGUGUUUUUAGAGAGGGUCCCUUUUGGUGUUUAAGGUUCAAAAAGUGUCCGUUUUGGUGCCGGGCUCAGGAAAAGACCAUAUCAAACAACAUAUUUAUGUAAAAUUGUAUAUAUUCCCCCUCCUCCCCCCCCCCCCCCCCUACCAAUUUGUAAUUGGAGACAAGCCUUGACGUCAAACACUAGAUGUUUCUCCUUCUUCCUAUGAUGUAUGUUAUGUUAAAUUGAACUUGUCAAAUUCAUUUGCUUUUUCAUUUAUUAGGUGGGAUAUUAGCCAAAUUGAUCGGCUCCCAGAGUACAUGAAAAUCAGCUACAAAGCACUUUUAGAUCUCUAUAACGAUUAUGAAACAGAGUUGUCAAAGGAUGGCAGAUCUGAUGUUGUUUAAUAUGCAAAAGAAAGGGUAUGAAUCGUGAAUUAUACUGGUUAACUCAAUAUUAAUCAGUUUUUUUUUCUCCUCAUUUUUGCUUAUAAUGAAAGUUAUUGUUUUGAUAUGUAGUGAUGGUUGAAUGUCUUUGCUUGUUGUUUGACAGAUGAAAGAAACAGUGAGAAACUACUUUGUGGAAGCCAAAUGGUUAAUUGAUGGAUAUAUGCCACCUUUUUCCGAGUAUCUUAGCCUACGUUAGUUGCUAGCACUUAUUACUUGCUUACAACUACAUCCUGCUUUGACAUGAAGUGUGCUAACAAGGAAGAUUUUGAAUGGUUGGCCAAGAACCCUAAAAUUCUUGAAGCCAAUGUGACCUUAUGUCGAGUCAUUGAUGACCUAGCCACAUAUGAGGUAUACAUUGCAUCAAAUAAAGUUACAUAUAUGCGUUUACCUAGUUGCAACCAUGAAGUGAUAAAAAUUGAUUUCAUACUUCUACGAACACAUUCUAACUUCCAAUCCAGGUUGAGAAGGAUAGAGGUCAGAUUGUAACUGGAAAUUGAGUGUUACAUGAGAGAUCAUGGUGUAUCAACAGAAGAGGCAAUGGAAAAAUUUCAAGAAAUGGCUGAGAUAGCGUGGAAGGAUCUAAAUGAAGGAAUUCUACGACCAACUCCUGUAUCUAUGAAGAUUCUCACUCGUAUUCUCAAUCUUGCUCGCAUCAUGGGUGUCAUAUACAACCAUAACCAAGAUGGAUACACUCAUCCUGAAAAAGUACUAAAACCUCACAUUAUGGCCUUGUUUGUGGACUCCAUUAAAAUUUAAAGCAUCAAUUGUUGUAUACGGGAGCACUUGGUUACUAGCCCCUCAAAUAAGUAAUUGAUCUACAUUUGAUGGUAUAUCUGUAGCUAGUUACGGUAGCUAGGUAAUCAAAUAAUAAUAAAGAAUAUUCAAAGUAUCAAUUUCUUACAGGAAAUAAAUUAUAAUCUCAAUCAUUAAACUACUUAUAAGACGAAUCGUGAUACUAUACUGAGACACUUGGUUAAUCAUGUCCUUGUGGUCUAAUAAUGCAGGUCUAUUGAUCUAGUUGUCCAUAUUGACUAGCCUCAUCAAAAAUAAAAUUAUUGAUUAUGACCAUUUCAUUAUUUUAGCAAUUACUAGUACCUUUUUUCGCAUUCCUGGACUUUAUAAUGUCAUAGACCGGAAAUAAAAGGGAAAAAAAAGAGAGAGAUUUGGGGGAGGAGAACCAGGGAAGAGGCUGUGCAUGGAAUGGGCAACUAGUAAAAUUGUACAUCUCAUGCGCUGCCUCGUCCCUGUCUAUCCUCUCCACUUUUGAAUAUCAUUCUACACCAUAAUUACCUCAAUAUAUAGGGACUCCUUAAUUUCGCCAAUAAUGCUAAACAUUCCUUCCAUCUGGAGUAUACAUGAAAAGGCCUUUUCCUGAUGAAAAUUUUCAAUGACCAAAAGGUAAUUAGUGCAAUGGCUGUUUUAUGAUGGAG